ACUCAAAUGAAUAGACGGGGGAGCGCACAACCGGUGGAGCAUGUUGUUUAAUUCGAUACGAAGCGAAAAACCUUACCCAGAUUUGACAUGUAACUGCACGGUCAUGGAAACAUGGCCUUCUUCGAGAGUGUUACACAGGUGAUGCAUGGCUGUCGUCAGCUCGUGUCGUGAGACGUCCGCUUAAGUGCGGUAACGAGCGCAACCCUUACUGUGUGUUACAUUUCACACAGGACUGCCCCGCCUCUGGCGGGGAGGAAGGAGAGGACGACGUCAAGUCAGCACGUCCCUUACAUCUGGGGCCACAAACAUCCUACAAUGGAGCCGACAAUAGGUUGCGACGGGGUAACCCUGAGCCAAUCCUCCAAACGGCUCCUCAGUUCAGAUUGCGGGCUGCAACCCGCCCGCAUGAAGUCGGAAUCGGUAGUAAUCGCAAAUCAGCAGGUUGCGGUGAAUACGUUCUCGCUCCUUGUACACACCGCCCGU
This 483-nucleotide ribosomal RNA is filed under the name uncultured bacterium. Its description in RNAcentral is "partial 16S ribosomal RNA". It matches the Rfam family "Bacterial small subunit ribosomal RNA", at positions 899 to 1397 of the family's 1533-position model. The record is from RNAcentral.